GACGUUUUAAUUCUGCAACAGCGGGACACAACACCGGAAAUGACUUGGAUACGACACUCCUGGCAGUGGUAAUAGGUGUUUUGGCACUUUUCAUCAUAAUGGCAGUGAUUUGUUCCCUCAUCUUCAGAAAGCGGAAACGGAACUUGAAAACUAAG
This is a long non-coding RNA of Pecten maximus, 155 nucleotides long. RefSeq lists it as uncharacterized. The transcript has 3 exons. The record is from RefSeq and is a predicted model, not a curated record. NCBI's taxonomy places the organism in Eukaryota, Metazoa, Mollusca, Bivalvia, Pectinida, Pectinidae.